AUUGAACGCUGGCGGCGUGCCUAACACAUGCAAGUCGAGCGGUAACAGGUGUAGCAAUACAUGCUGACGAGCGGCGGACGGGUGAGUAACGCUUGGGAAUCUGCCUAUUAGUGGGGGACAACCCGGGGAAACUCGGGCUAAUACCGCAUACGAUCACGGGGCUUCGGUCCUGUGCUGAAAGGUGGCCUCUUCUUGAAAGCUACUACUUCCAGAGGGACCCGCGCCUGAUUAGCUAGUUGGUAGGGUAACGGCCUACCAAGGCGACGAUCAGUAGCCGGCCUGAGAGGGUGAUCGGCCACACUGGAACUGAGCACGGUCCAGACUCCUACGGGGAGGCAGCAGUGA
RNAcentral lists this ribosomal RNA (345 nucleotides) under uncultured bacterium. Its description in RNAcentral is "bacterial SSU rRNA". It matches the Rfam family "Bacterial small subunit ribosomal RNA", at positions 30 to 357 of the family's 1533-position model. The record is from RNAcentral.